CUGUGGGUGAGAGUCCCACCCGGCAAACGCUCCAGCCGGAAGCAACCGGAGCAACUAUGGAGGUAACGAAAUAGUUGAAGCCUUCGGGUAAAGCGUGUCACGAAAUAUGGUGACAGCGCGAGUGUGCAGGCCGGAACGUGA
This 141-nucleotide non-coding RNA is filed under the name Candidatus Nitrotoga fabula. The record is from RNAcentral. RNAcentral also lists the same sequence under 3 other names. Lineage: Bacteria; Pseudomonadati; Pseudomonadota; Betaproteobacteria; Nitrosomonadales; Gallionellaceae.